RNAcentral lists this ribosomal RNA (394 nucleotides) under uncultured bacterium. RNAcentral's name for it is "partial 16S ribosomal RNA". It matches the Rfam family "Bacterial small subunit ribosomal RNA", at positions 523 to 918 of the family's 1533-position model. The record is from RNAcentral.
AUACGGAGGGUGCAAGCGUUAAUCGGAAUUACUGGGCGUAAAGGGAGCGUAGGCGGGAAGGCAAGUUGGAUGUGAAAACUGAGGGCUCAACCGACAGACUGCAUUCAAAACUGUUUUUCUUGAGUGAAGUAGAGGUAAGCGGAAUUCCUAGUGUAGCGGUGAAAUGCGUAGAUAUUAGGAGGAACACCAGUGGCGAAGGCGGCGAGCUGAGCUUUUACGGACGCUGAGGCUGGAAAGAGUGGAGAGCAAUCAGGAUUGGAUACCCUGGUAGUCCACCCCGUAAACGAUGAUUACUAGGUGUGGGGGCGUCAAGCUUCCGUGCCGGAGUUAAAACAAUUAGUAAUCCCCCUGGGGAGUACGGCCGCAAGGUUGAAACUCAAAUGAAUUGACGGGG